GCUGGUGUAGCUCAGUUGGUAGAGCAGCUGAUUUGUAAUCAGCCGGUCGCAGGUUCGAGUCCUGUCACCAGCU
RNAcentral lists this transfer RNA (73 nucleotides) under Halomicronema hongdechloris C2206. It matches the Rfam family "tRNA". Rfam says of the family: Transfer RNA (tRNA) molecules are approximately 80 nucleotides in length. Their secondary structure includes four short double-helical elements and three loops (D, anti-codon, and T loops). Further hydrogen bonds mediate the characteristic L-shaped molecular structure. tRNAs have two regions of fundamental functional importance: the anti-codon, which is responsible for specific mRNA codon recognition, and the 3' end, to which the tRNAs corresponding amino acid is attached (by aminoacyl-tRNA synthetases). tRNAs cope with the degeneracy of the genetic code in two manners: having more than one tRNA (with a specific anti-codon) for a particular amino acid; and 'wobble' base-pairing, i.e. permitting non-standard base-pairing at the 3rd anti-codon position. The record is from Rfam by way of RNAcentral. Lineage: Bacteria; Bacillati; Cyanobacteriota; Cyanophyceae; Nodosilineales; Nodosilineaceae. RNAcentral also lists the same sequence under 3 other names.